CUUUCCUACGGGACGCAGCAGUGAGGAAUAUUGGUCAAUGGACGAAAGUCUGAACCAGCCAUGCCGCGUGCAGGAAGACGGCUCUAUGAGUUGUAAACUGCUUUUGUACAAGGGUAAACCUGAAUACGUGUAUUCAGCUGAAAGUACUGUACGAAUAAGGAUCGGCUAACUCCGUGCCAACAGCCGCGGUAAUACAUAGGGAGCAAGCGUUAUCCGGAUUUAUUGGGUGUAAGGGGUGCGUAGACGGGAAAUUAAGUUAGUUGUGAAAUCCCUCGGCUUAACUGAGGAACUGCAACUAAAACUGA
Molecule: ribosomal RNA, 305 nt
Filed under: uncultured bacterium
Lineage: Bacteria
Description: bacterial SSU rRNA
Rfam family: Bacterial small subunit ribosomal RNA
Source: RNAcentral